GAUGAACGCUGGCGGCGGGCCUAAUACAUGCAAGUCGAGCGAACAGACGAGGAGCUUGCUCCUCUGACGUUAGCGGCGGACGGGUGAGUAACACGUGGAUAACCUACCUAUAAUACUGGGAGAACUUCGGGAAACCGGAGCUAAUACCGGAUAACAUGUUGAACCGCAUGGUUCAACAGUGAAAGACGGUCUUGCUGUCACUUAUAGAUGGAUCCGCGCCGCAUUAGCUAGUUGGUAAGGUAACGGCCUACCAAGGCAACGAUGCGUAGCCGACCUGAGAGGGUGAUCGGCCACACUGGAACUGAGACACGGUCCAGACUCCUACGGGAGGCAGCAGUAGGGAAUCUUCCGCAAUGGGCGAAAGCCUGACGGAGCAACGCCGCGUGAGUGAAGAAGGUCUUCGGAUCGUAAAACUCUGUUAUUAGGGAAGAACAACUGUGUAAGUAACUAUGCACGUCUUGACGGUACCUAAUCAGAAAGCCACGGCUAACUACGUG
This 497-nucleotide ribosomal RNA is filed under the name uncultured bacterium. RNAcentral describes it as "partial 16S ribosomal RNA". It matches the Rfam family "Bacterial small subunit ribosomal RNA", at positions 28 to 507 of the family's 1533-position model. The record is from RNAcentral.